Molecule: ribosomal RNA, 372 nt
Filed under: uncultured organism
Description: bacterial SSU rRNA
Rfam family: Bacterial small subunit ribosomal RNA
Source: RNAcentral
CGUAGGGUGCGAGCGUUAAUCGGAAUUACUGGGCGUAAAGUGUGCGCAGGUGGCCGCGCAAGUCGAGUGUGAAAUCCCCGAGCUUAACUUGGGAAUUGCGCUCGAAACUACGUGGCUCGAGUGUGGCAGAGGAAGGUGGAAUUCCACGUGUAGCGGUGAAAUGCGUAGAGAUGUGGAGGAACACCGAUGGCGAAGGCAGCCUUCUGGGCCAACACUGACGCUCAUGCACGAAAGCGUGGGGAGCAAGCAGGAUUAGAUACCCUGGUAGUCCACGCCCUAAACGAUGAUGACUAGUUGUUGGGGGAGUUAAAUCCCUUAGUAACGCAGCUAACGCGUGAAGUCAUCCGCCUGGGGAGUACGGUCGCAAGAUUA